AUGACCUUACUUGAACAAGAUCUGUUCUAUAGGAUCGUACCUCAUUAUCCUUGAUUUCUAAGGGGACCGGAACUUAAGUCUGGAUGAUGAGCCAUGACAGUACGAUCAGAGCGUGAUUAAUGGCUGGUGAUCCUAUUGUUGAUGUAGAUCAUCUAGCUUUAGAGGACCGUUCUGUUCGUCAUCUGAUGGUUGAGAUGGUCACGCGGUUGUCUGACAGACU
RNAcentral lists this small nucleolar RNA (220 nucleotides) under Macleaya cordata. RNAcentral's name for it is "Plant small nucleolar RNA U3". It matches the Rfam family "Plant small nucleolar RNA U3". From Rfam's summary of the family: Small nucleolar RNAs (snoRNAs) are involved in the processing and modification of rRNA in the nucleolus. There are two main classes of snoRNAs: the box C/D class, and the box H/ACA class. U3 snoRNA is a member of the box C/D class. The record is from Rfam by way of RNAcentral. Lineage: Eukaryota; Viridiplantae; Streptophyta; Magnoliopsida; Ranunculales; Papaveraceae.